This is a long non-coding RNA of Brassica rapa (field mustard), 842 nucleotides long. RefSeq lists it as uncharacterized. Lineage: Eukaryota; Viridiplantae; Streptophyta; Magnoliopsida; Brassicales; Brassicaceae. The record is from RefSeq and is a predicted model, not a curated record.
CCAAGAGGAAUUGGAAACACGAUGUUAAGUAUCUUAGUAUGAUGAGGAUUGAGGUAUACUACAAACACUUUUGUGAAUGGUAUGGGACGUUCACAGAUGUGUGAUGCUUUGGAGAAUGGUAUGGGACAUUUUCCAAAUGUGUGAUCAAACCGAAAUCCUACUCAUCUAAGUACUUAAUGAUCGGUGGUGUGGAAACACAUUAUUUGAUACUGGAGCUACACAUAGUGCUGUGAGUCCAGGAAUGGUUGGAAAAGGUUUGUUCCAGUAUGGAACAUGGGAUGGUCCUGAACGAGUGAGUGCGGCCGGAGGGCAAGUUAUGAACUCACUCGGUCUGGUUAAGGACAUCCCUGUGGUGAUCUUGGAUAGGCCGAUGCCUAUAGAUCUGAUUGUUGUCCCCCUCAAGCAUCAUGAAGUGAUCUUGGGCAUGGACUGGUUGGGAAAGUAUCGGGCAACUCUACAUUGUCACCGUGCGUGAGCGGUUUCGAAGUGGCGGUGAGCAGCGACUCGUCAGGUCCACAAGCUUUGCCACUCUCAAGAGUGCUUGAGGCACUUCAGGAGCUAGGGCUUGAAGUCAUCAGCUCUCUCACUACAAGAGUUAAUGAGAGGCUCAUACACACUAUUAGAGUCGAGGUUAAUAGUUUUGGAUGCUUGGACUUUGCUUGGUUGCAGCAGAAGCUAGUUGAGGAGUUGAUACCUUCGACGGGGUACUAAUAAUUAAGAAAGAUAACACUCUUAGUCCGAAAGACUUAUUUUUCGUAUGAUCUCUUUUCCAAGUGCUCUUUUUGCUCGUAGAUUUGGUAUUAAAGCUUGUUAAUGGAUACAAAAAGGCGUUUUCGUUGAUA